This 433-nucleotide ribosomal RNA is filed under the name uncultured bacterium. Its description in RNAcentral is "partial 16S ribosomal RNA". It matches the Rfam family "Bacterial small subunit ribosomal RNA", at positions 29 to 507 of the family's 1533-position model. The record is from RNAcentral.
AACGAACGCUGGCGGCAUGCCUAACACAUGCAAGUCGAACGAGACCUUCGGGUCUAGUUGCGUACGGGUGCGUAACGCGUGGGAACCUGCGCUUAGGUUCGGAAUAACUCUCCGAAAGGGGUCCUAAUACGGGGUAAUAUAUUCGGACAAAAGAUCUAUCGCCUUUGGAUGGGCCCGCGUUGGAUUAGCUAGUUGGUAGGGUAAAAGCCUACCAAGGCGACGAUCCAUAGCUGGUCUGAGAGGAUGAUCGGCCACACUGGGACUGAGACACGGCCCAGACUCCUACGGGAGGCAGCAGUGGGGAAUAUUGGACAAUGGGCGAAAGCCUGAUCCAGCGAUGCCGCGUGAGUGAUGAAGGCCUUAGGGUUGUAAAGCUCUUUUACCCGGGAUGAUAAUGACAGUACCGGGAUAAUAAGCUCCGGCUAACUCCGUG